UACGGGGGGGGCAAGCGUUGUUCGGAAUUACUGGGCGUAAAGGGCUCGUAGGCGGCCAACUAAGUCAUACGUGAAAUCCCUCGGCUUAACCGGGGAACCGCGUCUGAUACUGGAUGGCUUGAGAUUGGGAGAGGGAUGCGGAAUUCCAGGUGUAGCGGUGAAAUGCGUAGAUAUCUGGAGGAACACCGGUGGCGAAGGCGGCAUCCUGGACCAACACUGACGCUGAGGAGCGAAAGCCAGGGGAGCAAACGGG
This 253-nucleotide ribosomal RNA is filed under the name uncultured bacterium. RNAcentral describes it as "partial 16S ribosomal RNA". It matches the Rfam family "Bacterial small subunit ribosomal RNA", at positions 524 to 776 of the family's 1533-position model. The record is from RNAcentral.